UACGUAGGGUGCAAGCGUUGUCCGGAAUUAUUGGGCGUAAAGAGCUCGUAGGCGGUCUGUCGCGUCGGCUGUGAAAACCCGAGGCUCAACCUCGGACUUGCAGUGGGUACGGGCAGACUAGAGUGUGGUAGGGGAGACUGGAAUUCCUGGUGUAGCGGUGGAAUGCGCAGAUAUCAGGAGGAACACCGAUGGCGAAGGCAGGUCUCUGGGCCAUUACUGACACUGAGAAGCGAAAGCAUGGGGAGCGAACAGG
Molecule: ribosomal RNA, 253 nt
Filed under: uncultured bacterium
Lineage: Bacteria
Description: partial 16S ribosomal RNA
Rfam family: Bacterial small subunit ribosomal RNA
Source: RNAcentral